RNAcentral lists this ribosomal RNA (650 nucleotides) under uncultured bacterium. Its description in RNAcentral is "bacterial SSU rRNA". It matches the Rfam family "Bacterial small subunit ribosomal RNA", at positions 56 to 731 of the family's 1533-position model. The record is from RNAcentral.
UGCAGUCGAACGGGUGUAGCAAUACACCAGUGGCGGACGGGUGAGUAAUGUAUAGCUAACGUACCCUCGGGACGGGGAUAGCCAUCCGAAAGGAUGGGUAAUACCCGGCAACAUAUCCUGGUCGCAUGAUCGGGAUCUCAGAGGCCGCAAGGCGCCUGAGGAGCGGGCUAUAUUGUAUCAGCUAGUUGGUAGGGUAAUGGCCUACCAAGGCGACGACGCAUAGCCGGGCUAAGAGGUUGUCCGGCCACAUUGGGACUGAGACACUGCCCAGACUCCUACGGGGGGCUGCAGUAACGAAUCUUCCACAAUGCACGAAAGUGUGAUGGAGCGACGCCGCGUGUAGGAUGAAGUUCUUCGGAAUGUAAACUACUGUCAGGGGUAAGAAAGUUCUGAUCUGCCCCAGAGGAAGGCACGGCUAACUCUGUGCCAGCAGCCGCGGUAAGACAGAGGUGCCAAGCGUUAGGCGGAAUCACUGGGCUUAAAGCGUGUGUAGGCGGAUUGACAGGUACCUUGUGAAAUCCCACGGCUCAACCGUGGAACGGCUUGGUAUACUGUUGAUCUUGAGCCAUCUAGAGGCAACUGGAACAAACGGUGGAGCGGUGAAAUGCGUAGAUAUCGUUUGGAACGCCAAAGGUGAAAACAGGUUGCUG